RNAcentral lists this microRNA (21 nucleotides) under Prunus persica (peach). RNAcentral describes it as "microRNA miRNA_132". The record is from RNAcentral. Lineage: Eukaryota; Viridiplantae; Streptophyta; Magnoliopsida; Rosales; Rosaceae.
UAUGUUGUCAAAUUGUCAAUC